UGAAGGGAUGAUGGGUGAGCUACCAAGGCUAACAUUUUCCCGAGGACAUUGAGUUAGGGAAGUGGCCUCUCCUUGAGGGAAGGAGCCAGAUGACUUCUCAGAGAACAACAACCAUAUUCAAAAUAUUCUCAAGUUUCUUUUGUUUCUUCUUGUCUGCAUCUGAUAUCCAGGACAUUAUUCCACAGGAAAAGGUUAACAGGAAAUCAAGAUCGGCCCGCUCCUACAGCAAAAGAAGUACUAAGAGGAAAGUUUAUAGUGAUAAGCACCUACAUAACAAAAAACUUCAAAUAAACAACCUAAUGAGGCAUCUUAAGGAAUGAGAAAAGAGCAAACUGAAUACAAAAUUAGUAGAAGAAAAGAAAUAAUAAAGUUCACAGCAAAAAUAAAUGAAGAAAACAAUACAAAAGAUCAAUAAAAUAAAAAUUUGUUUUUUUGAACAGAUGAACAACAUUGACAAACCUUCAGGCAGACUAAGAAAAAAAAGAGCAAAAAACCCAAAUAAAUAAAAUUAGAGAUGAAAGAGGAGACAUUGCAGCUGAUUUCACAGAAAUUCAAAGUAUCAUUACAGGCUGCUAUGAACAACUAUAUGCCAAUAAAUGGGAAAACCUGGAAGAAAUGGAUAAAUUUCUAGAAAAAUACAACCUACCAAGAUUGAACCAUGAAGAAAUCCAAAACCUGAACAGAUCAAUAACAAGUAAUAAGAUCGAAGCUGUAAUAAAAAGUCUCCCAGAAAAGCAAAGCCUAGGAUUCAAUGGCAUCACUGCUGAAUUUUAUCAGACAUUAAAAAAGAGCUAAACCCUAUUCAAAUUAUUCCAAAAAACUUAUUCUACAAGGCGAGUAUUACACUAAUACCAAAACCAGACAAAGAUGCAUAAAAAAAGAAAACAAUAUGCCAAUAUCCCUUAUGAACAUUGAUGCAAAAAUCCUCAACAAAAUACUAGUAAACCAAAUUUAACAGUACAAUAAAAUGAUCAUUCAUCAUGACCAAGUUGGAUUUAUCCCUGGGAUGUAAGAAUGGCUCAACAUAUGCAAAUCAAUCAAUGUCAUACGUCAUAGCAAUGAAGGACAAAAACCAUAUGAUCAUUUCAAUUGAUGCUGAACAAGCACUUAACAAAAUUCAACAUUUAUUCAUGAUAAAACCCUAAAAAAAUUGGAUCUAGAAGGAACAUACCUUAGCACAAUAAAAGCCAUUUACAACAGACUCAUAGCUAGUAUAAUACUGAAUGAGGAAAAACUAAAAGCUUUUCCUUUAAGAUCGAGAACAUGACAAGGAUGCCCACUUUCACCACUGUUAUUUAAUGUAGUACUGGAAGUCCUAGCUGGACCAACCAGACAAGAGCAAGAAAUAAAGGAAAUCCAAAUUGGAAAGGAAGAAGUCAAAUUAUCUUUGUUUGCAGAUGCUAUGAUCUUAUAUUUGGAAAAGCCUAGAGAUUCCACAAGAGAACUAUUAGAACUGAUAGACAAAUUCAGUAAAUUUGAAGGAUACAAAAUCAACAUACGAAAAUCAGUAGCAUUUCCAUAUGACAACAGUGAAUCUGAAAAAGAAAUCAGGAAAUUAAUCAUAUUUACAAUAGCCAAAAACAAAAUAAAAUACCUAAAAAUUAACCAAAGAAGUCAAAGAUGUCCACAAUGAAAAAUAUAAAACACUGAUGCAAAAUUUGAAGAGAAUAUAAAAAAAUGAAAAGAUAUUCCAUGUUAAUGGAUUGGAACAAUCAAUAUUGUUAAAAUAUUCAUACUACCUAAAACAAUCUAUAGAUUAAAUGCAACCCCUAUGAAAAUACCAAUAACACUCUUCACAGAAAUAGAGAAAAACAAUCCUAAAAUGUAUAUGGAACCAUAAAAAACCCAGAAUAGCCAAAGCUAUCCUCAGCAAAAAGAACAAAACUGAAGGAAUCACAUUAUCUGACUUCAAAUUAUACUACAGAGCUAUAGCAACCAAAACAGCAUGGUACAGUCAUAAAAACAGACACAUAGGCCAAUGAAACAGUAUAGAGAACCCAGAAACAAAUCCAUACAUCUACAGUAGACUCAUUUUCAACAAAGCCAAAUAUAUACAUUGGAGAAAGGAUAGUCUCUUCAAUAAAUGGUGCUGGGAAAACUGGAUAUCCUUAUGCGGAAGAAUAAAACUAGACUCCUAUUUCUCAUCACACACAGGAAUCAAAUCAAAAUGGACCAAAGAUUUAAAUAUAAGACCUUAAACUGUGAAACUACUCAAAGAAAACCCUGAGGAAACUACCCAGGACAUUGGUCUGGGUAAAGAUUUCUUGAGUAAUACUCCACAAGCACAGGCAGCCAAAGCAAGAAUGGACAAAUGGGAUCACAUCAACUUGAAAAGCAUCUGCACAGCAAAGGUAACCAUCCACAAAAUGAAGAGUCAACCCAAAGAAUGGAAGAAAAUAUUCACAAACUAUCCAUCUGACAAGGGAUUAAUAGCCAGAAUAUAUAAGGAGCUCAAAUGACUUUAUAGGAAAAAACCUAAUAAUCAGAUUUUAAAAUGAGCAAAUAUCUGAAUAAACAUAUCUCACAAGAAGAUAUACAAAUGGCAACAGGUAUAUGAAAAGGUGCUCAACAUCAUAGAUCAUCAGAAAAAUGCAAAUCAAACUACAAUGAGAUAUCACCUUACUCCAGGUAAAAUGGGUUAUAUCCAAAAGACAGGCAACAACAAAUGCCAAAGAGGAUGUGGAGAAAAGGGAACCCUUGCACACUAUGGAAUGGAAAUUAGUACAGUCACGAUGGAGAACAGUUUGGAGGUUCCUCAAAAAACUAAAAAUAGAGCUACCAUAUGAUCCAGCAAUCCCACUGGUAAGUAUAUACCCAAAAGAAGGGAAAUCAAUAUAUUGAAGAAGUAUCUGCUCUCCAGUGUUUAUUGCAGAAUGAUUCACAAUAGCCAAGAUCUGGAAGCAACCUAAGUGUCCAUCAACGGAUGAAUGGAUAAAGAAAAUGUGGUACACAUUCCAUAAAAAAGAAUGAGAUCCUGUCAUUUGCAACAACAAGUAUGGAGCUGGAGGACAUUAUGUUAAGUGAAGUAAGUCAGGCACAGAAAGACAAACUUGGCGUGUUCUCACUUAUUUGUGGGAGCUAAAAAUUCAAACAAACUCAUGGAGGUAGAGAGUAGAACAAUGGUUACUAGAGGCUGGGAAGGGUAGCAGGUUAGUGAGGAGUAAGGAGGGAAUGGUUAAUGGGUACAAAAAUAUAGUUAGAAUGAAUAAGAUCUAGUAUUUGAUAGCACAACAGGGUGACUAUAGUCAACAAUAAUUUAGUGUACAUUUGAAAAUAGCUCAAAGAGUAUAAUUGGAUUGUUUGUAAUACAAAGAAAGGAUAAAUGCUUGAGGCAAUGGAUCCUCCAUUUACCCUGAUGUGAUUAUUAUUUGUUGUAUGCCUGUGUCAAAAUAUCUCAUGUACCCUAUAAAUAUAUGUACCUACUGCGUACCCACAAAAAUUAAAGAUUAAAAAAAGAUUAAUUAUAACAAGAGAUUGCCUACUAAGAGGCAAAGAGAACUCCAAGGAAUAUAGUAAUAGCAGAUAUAAGGAACAGCUACUACCGCUAGGACUGAGGCAGAACACCCAAGGAGAGGAAAUCCCCACAGUCAUCAAAGUCCACUUUCAACCCCCCACCUGCAUCCCCAGGCUGAGAUCCAGACCUCAUUGGAGAGGGUGUGGGCGUGGCCUGUUGAAUACAAGAUACACAAUGCCAGAUGGCACUCUGGCAAAAGUUACUGAGAGGCCCCUUUAUGGAGCUGGGGGAGGCUCUCUGUGGGGAGGUACUGUACUGGUGAUAUCUGCUGGGAGGCUAUACUCUGGUGGACAUGAGGAAGUCAUUCCCAGGGAGAUGCCACACUAUGGAGCUUACUCUAAAGCUGCCCAUGGAGGUAGUGUACUGAGAAGUGGCUCUGGUUUAUCAGGAGGUGAUGCCACUGAAACUUGCUGAGGGUGAGCACUGGGGCUCCCACCUGUCCCUGGCCACUGGAUGCUAGAGGUGCAAGCCCAGAAGAAGCCUAUUGGAUUCUUCCUCCCCUCCCCUCCCUUCCCAUCUCUUCCUCCCUCCCUUUCCCCUCUUCUUCCUCCCUCUCCCCCUCUCCUCUCCCCUCCCCCUCUCCUCUCCCCUCCCUCUCUUCCCAUCCUUCCUCCUCUUCCCUUCCUUUCCCUUCCCCUCUUCCUUUCCCUUCCCCUCUUCCUUUCCCUUCCUCUCUUCCUUUCCCUUCCCCUCUUCCUUUUCCUUCCCUUCCUUCAGCUCCCCCUCUCUCUGACUCUUCCUUUCUCUCUCUCUCUCCCUGACUCCUCUAUACCCCUUUAACCAAAGUCAGUUUCUUUAGAAGACUCAGGACACUUCUUGUGUGUCUGGGCAUGGCAAUUUGUUCAUCAGUUUCCUAUGAGCAUAUUAAAACACUAAUUAUAACUAUGAAAAUGUACAGUUGGUGUAUAGUUAGCUCUUACACCAUAUCAGCUGAUGGGAAGUAAGACUGAAAAAAAAAUAGAAUAAUGUCUUUCAUUAGGAGAUUAGAUUGUGCUGUGUGCAUUUUGUAUCAUGUUUUCUUCUUUGCUCUUACAUAUAAAAAGCAGUGUUUCUACAUAAGAUUUGCAUGAGUGAAAAGAACACAAGGUUAGGAGAUAUCAUCCUGGUUGUGUCCCCAAGUGGUAUGGUGACCCUAAGCAAAUAACACUUUCUUUGAUUUCAGUUUUCUCAUCUUUCAAAUAGGAAUAACAUUUAUUCAUUCACGUACUUGUUAAUCCUGUCUGUAAACAUUUUUUAGGUUGCUUAUUUUGUGUCGGCCGCUGUGCUAGCACUGGAGAUUUGUAGCUUACUAAGUCAUUACCUGUCUCCUUAGGGAGCCACCUUGUAGUCCUAAAAAUAAAAUACAAUGCCCCAUUUUAGAGAGUUCUCAUAAAAAUCAAAUGAGAUGAUGGAUUAUAGGUACUUGAAAAAGAUUAAAAAAUCACUCUUCAAAUGUAAGAGGUUGUACUGAUAUUAAUAUCACAGUCAUCACAACCGCAGAAUGGCAAUUAACUUAUUGUGUUUUUUAUUUCAUUGACAUUAGGGCUAAGAGGAGGAUUGUAAGUGAUUCAGGUAAGGACCAGAACAUCUAUAUUCCCAAAGAAUGUUUCCCAUAAAUUAACAGUCAUUAAAAUUAACCUGUGAAGUUAAUUAUGGUAUGUGACACAGAUGGCUUUAAGCUUUAUGCAGUUAUGUUCUUGACCAGAUGAGGUCUUCCUUUUAUUAGUUUAUGAGUCACAGGGCAAGUGUGAUGGUGUGCUAGGAAUGCUUAAUCAGGAUCAGGAGCUAGAGUUACUUCUGGCCUUGGGGGGAAAAAGAAAACCUUUUCGGCAUAUUCAUUUUUGUUUUUUAUUGUGAAUAAAGCACCCUUUAUUGCUGCUCAGGGUGCAAUAAACCUCUCAAAUCCUUGGGCCCUGGAUCUUGUGUGACCUGCCCUUUCAUCUCUGAUGCUUUCGCUUCUGGAGUUUUGACAAUGUCGGAUCUCCUUCAUGCGCUCUUGCUCCUCUUUGCUCUCUCUCUUUUCCUUUAUCAAGGUCUCACCAGCUCUCUGGGAGGAGGAUUGCAUCAUCCCAACCACAGACUACCCGGAGCUUUGGGUGCUCUGUAGCUGCUCAUGUCCUUUCCAGUCCCUUCAACCAAGGAGAAGAAUGACAGAUUGCUGGCUGAGAGUAUCCAGAGUGGCUGUUAGCUAAUGAUUGCUAUAAAUUCUGAUAAUAAUAAUAGCAAUCAUAAAUAAUAUAAAACAGUGGCAUUGCAGCAGCUGGUAUUCAUGCUGCUCAGACUCUUAUUUAAAGAAUUUAAACUUUUUUUUUGGAGGAGACUUACAAGAAUCUUGGGUCACAUGGUACCACUUGGCCACAAGGACUUGACAAGUAGUAAUGAGCAGGGUUUCUUGAAGGCAGACAGAAAGAUAGGGACAGCUGUCCUGGAGAGUCACCCAUCCUGCAUCAGAACCGAAUAAGUGAGAAAUAAACCUUUAUUGUGUUAGGCCACGGAGGUUUUGGGUUUUGUUUGGUACAUUAGUGUAGCAUGACCUAUCUGUACUACAGUCACUCACAUCGCUGCUGUUAUGUAUUUUUUUAAAUAAGCUUAGCACUGGAGACCCCAUGGCUGGGUUAACUCUAGUUAAAAAUAUUUGUUACGGCCGGGCGCAGUGGCUCACGCCUGUA
Molecule: long non-coding RNA, 6162 nt
Filed under: Homo sapiens (human)
Lineage: Eukaryota; Metazoa; Chordata; Mammalia; Primates; Hominidae
Description: HSALNT0135007
Source: RNAcentral